CUGCCUCAGAGUGGGGGACAACAGUUGGAAACGACUGCUAAUACCGCAUAAGCCCACGGGUCCGCAUGGAUCUGAGGGAAAAGGAGCAAUCCGCUUUGAGAUGGCCUCGCGUCCGAUUAGCUAGUUGGUGAGGUAACGGCCCACCAAGGCGACGAUCGGUAGCCGGACUGAGAGGUUGAACGGCCACAUUGGGACUGAGACACGGCCCAGACUCCUACGGGAGGCAGCAGUGGGGAAUAUUGCACAAUGGGGGAAACCCUGAUGCAGCGACGCCGCGUGGAGGAAGAAGGUCUUCGGAUUGUAAACUCCUGUUGUUGAGGAAAAAACGGAUGGUACUCAACAAGGAAGUGACGGCUAACUACGUGCCAGCAGCCGCGGUAAAACGUAGGUCACAAGCGUUGUCCGGAAUUACUGGGUGUAAAGGGAGCGCAGGCGGGUAUGCAAGUUGGAAGUGAAAUACAUGGGCUCAACCCAUGAACUGCUUUCAAAACUGUGUAUCUUGAGUAGUGCAGAGGUAGGCGGAAUUCCCGGUGUAGCGGUGGAAUGCGUAGAUAUCGGGAGGAACACCAGUGGCGAAGGCGGCCUACUGGGCACCAACUGACGCUGAGGCUCGAAAGUGUGGGUAGCAAACAGGAUUAGAUACCCUGGUAGUCCACACCGUAAACGAUGAUUACUAGGUGUUGGAGGAUAGACCCCUUCAGUGCCGCAGU
Molecule: ribosomal RNA, 710 nt
Filed under: uncultured bacterium
Lineage: Bacteria
Description: bacterial SSU rRNA
Rfam family: Bacterial small subunit ribosomal RNA
Source: RNAcentral